CAUUUGAUUACUUCUCUCAUUGCUGAAAGUUUCGCAAACUGAAAAGUUGCAGAACUAUAAAUCCGAGGAAGCCUUUCCACCUGCGUUCAAAAUGAGUUCCAAGUCCCUAUUCGAAAGCGACGAGGAUGCCGCCCAGGCCAACAAAUUCGCCAAGAAGGCCAAAGAAAGCCCUUUUAUGCUAGUGGGCAUUGCUGGAUUUGUGGCCGCCGGAUUGAUUGGGGCGUACAAGUACAAGAACCGCGGGACGAUGAGCACCAGCGUAUUCCUGAUGCAGCUGCGUGUGGCGGCACAGGGGACCGUGGUCGGCUGCUUGACCGUCGGAUUGGCCUACAGUAUGGCUAAGGAGUACCUCUUCGAAAAGGCGCCCAAGGAGAAGUAAGGACUCGAGUUCCUACUUAGUUAAUACUAGCUGUAGUUGUAGUUGAUGUCACUCUACCAAGUCACUGACUAACUAAACUCAUAUGAUUGUAAGACCUCCCUCUUCAAAAGUACCCACAAGAACACCUUACCGGGAUAAAAUCGGCUAGCCCGCAUACAUCUAAGCAAAAUGUAUCUCUAUUUAUGUAUUUUAUCAACAAAAUAUUUUAAAAUUUGCACCGAGCGAAAGACGGUGAGAGGAUUAUCGAAGGAGGGCUGGGCUCUUAACAUUUAACAAAGUGUCCAAGCCAUGAGAACAAGACAAUGUUUUGUAUACCUGCGUAAGAUUGUGAUAAUGUUUGUUUUAAUUGUACAAGUUUAACAUCCAAGCGGAAGCUGUCGAGGACAGACGACAAGAUGAAUGAAUACCUCUCGCAACAUAUAAUAUAAUUAAAUAAAAAAGUAGGCUAAAA
RNA transcript from Drosophila kikkawai, 830 nucleotides. It is a transcript of the gene named HIG1 domain family member 1A, mitochondrial, with no coding region annotated. Lineage: Eukaryota; Metazoa; Arthropoda; Insecta; Diptera; Drosophilidae. The record is from RefSeq and is a predicted model, not a curated record.